Molecule: ribosomal RNA, 377 nt
Filed under: uncultured bacterium
Lineage: Bacteria
Description: bacterial SSU rRNA
Rfam family: Bacterial small subunit ribosomal RNA
Source: RNAcentral
UAAUACAGAGGGGGCUAGCGUUGUUCGGAAUUACUGGGCGUAAAGGGCGCGUAGGUGGCCUGUUAAGUCGAACGUGAAAUCCCCGGGCUCAACCCGGGAACUGCGUCCGAGACUGGCAGGCUCGAAUCCGGGAGAGGGAUGUGGAAUUCCAGGUGUAGCGGUGAAAUGCGUAGAUAUCUGGAGGAACACCGGUGGCGAAGGCGGCAUCCUGGACCGGUAUUGACGCUGAGGCGCGAAAGCCAGGGGAGCAAACGGGAUUAGAUACCCCGGUAGUCCUGGCCCUAAACGAUGAAUGCUUGGUGUGGCGGGUAUCGAUCCCUGCCGUGCCGAAGCUAACGCAUUAAGCAUUCCGCCUGGGGAGUACGGUCGCAAGGCUG